UACGAAGGGGGCUAGCGUUGUUCGGAAUUACUGGGCGUAAAGCGCAUGUAGGCGGUUCUUUAAGUCAGGGGUGAAAUCCCGGGGCUCAACCCCGGAAUUGCCUUUGAUACUGGAGAGCUAGAGUUUGGGAGAGGUGAGUGGAAUUCCGAGUGUAGAGGUGAAAUUCGUAGAUAUUCGGAGGAACACCAGUGGCGAAGGCGGCUCACUGGCCCGAAACUGACGCUGAGAUGCGAAAGCGUGGGGAGCAAACAGG
RNAcentral lists this ribosomal RNA (253 nucleotides) under uncultured bacterium. RNAcentral's name for it is "partial 16S ribosomal RNA". It matches the Rfam family "Bacterial small subunit ribosomal RNA", at positions 524 to 776 of the family's 1533-position model. The record is from RNAcentral.